This 497-nucleotide ribosomal RNA is filed under the name uncultured bacterium. RNAcentral's name for it is "partial 16S ribosomal RNA". It matches the Rfam family "Bacterial small subunit ribosomal RNA", at positions 28 to 507 of the family's 1533-position model. The record is from RNAcentral.
GAUGAACGCUGGCGGCGUGCCUAAUACAUGCAAGUCGAGCGAACGGACGAGAAGCUUGCUUCUCUGAUGUUAGCGGCGGACGGGUGAGUAACACGUGGAUAACCUACCUAUAAGACUGGGAUAACUUCGGGAAACCGUAGCUAAUACCGGAUAAUAUUCUGAACCGCAUGGUUCAAAAGUGAAAGACGGUCUUGCUGUCACUUAUAGAUGGAUCCGCGCUGCAUUAGCUAGUUGGUAAGGUAACGGCUUACCAAGGCAACGAUGCAUAGCCGACCUGAGAGGGUGAUCGGCCACACUGGAACGGAGACACGGUCCAGACUCCUACGGGAGGCAGCAGUAGGGAAUCUUCCGCAAUGGGCGAAAGCCUGACGGAGCAACGCCGCGUGAGUGAUGAAGGUCUUCGGAUCGUAAAACUCUGUUAUUAGGGAAGAACAUAUGUGUAAGUAACUGUGCACAUCUUGACGGUACCUAAUCAGAAAGCCACGGCUAACUACGUG